CUCACCAUCUCCGCAAACAUAUCACCAACCAGAAAGAACAGGUAGCCAGAGAUGGUCUCUGUCUUACUGCUGUUUUCCCAUCUUGCUUGGGUGGAUCUAAUGGGGAAGCCAUGUUUUCUUCAGAACCCUUGCAGUGAGUAAGUCUAGAAGCAUAAUGUUCAGCUGUCAGCCUCUGCAGUGCAUAACAUUUCCAGUGAGGAGGUUCAAAUGGAAGACAAGUACCAGGAGGCCACGGCCAUUUCACAGGAGCAAAUGAGAUGCAAAAUUAGAGCUAAAAGACUCCCAAAGCACAAGGAAACACAAGGUCCUCUGAAUGAGGCAUCACCAGGACACCUAAACUAUAAAACAGGAACCCACAGACAAGACAAUGCUUUAAGCAGAAAACACAAGACAAAAGUAAGAUGGCGUUGGUUUUGUUUGUACCUUGUCUCAUAGAUUUUUUAUGGUAGGUUAGUGGUCAAAUAAUAAGUUGGAACUCCAAGCCCUCAAAAUUGAGUCUUUUUAUUGGUUUCAAUUCCACUCCAACAUCAAAAUCUAUAGUCUUCUAUGUGCCUUUCUUGCAAGUGAGGCCCCUUUACCCCCUUUCUUGCCCCUAUCUCUCUCUAUUUCCAGAACUCCAAGGUCCACCUGCAGCUUGGACUUUCAGAGUCCCCAUCAGUCUCCUGUGUUUGCCCCCCAACCUUGUUUCAACCCACCUCUCUGUGGUUGCCCCUAUCUCCCUCCUGCAGAAUCUCAACUUCAGGAAGGGCACUCCCCAAAAAGGCAAAGAAUACCCCAUCACUAGGCCACACCUCCCUGCCAAACUCCGUACAACCUAAUUCCAUUUAGCCUUCCAGCCUGACAUCUUUCAGGGAUGUGCCAACGGCAACUUUUGUGACUAUUUUCCAAUGUUAC
RNAcentral lists this long non-coding RNA (894 nucleotides) under Macaca mulatta (Rhesus monkey). Its description in RNAcentral is "lncRNA (ENSMMUG00000062469.1)". Lineage: Eukaryota; Metazoa; Chordata; Mammalia; Primates; Cercopithecidae. The record is from RNAcentral.